AGUCACUGACAUUAGAUACCCCUGUAGUCCAGGGUGUAAACGCUGCAGACUUUGGUGUUGGAGGCCCUUUGGGGCAUUCAGUGCCGGAGAGAAGUUGUUAAGUCUGCUACUUGGGAGUACGUCCGCAAGGAUGAAACUUAAAGGAAUUGGCGGGGGAGCACCGCAACGGGAGGAGCGUGCGGUUUAAUUGGAUUCAACACCGUAAACUCACCAGGGAAGACUGUUACAUGAAGGCCGAGAUGAAGACUCUGCUAGAUUUUCAG
RNAcentral lists this ribosomal RNA (263 nucleotides) under uncultured archaeon. RNAcentral's name for it is "partial 16S ribosomal RNA". It matches the Rfam family "Archaeal small subunit ribosomal RNA", at positions 718 to 982 of the family's 1478-position model. The record is from RNAcentral.